Molecule: long non-coding RNA, 703 nt
Filed under: Citrus sinensis (sweet orange)
Lineage: Eukaryota; Viridiplantae; Streptophyta; Magnoliopsida; Sapindales; Rutaceae
Description: long non-coding RNA (CSIN_LNC001988)
Source: RNAcentral
AAAAUCCAAAACCAAAAAGUCAGAAUUUAUAACUUGCAAAUGGGUGUUGGCAGAGACCAUUAAAAUCCUCAAAAUCCAGCGACCAAAACCUGAAUUAUUUGCCUCCUUAAUGUCACUACAAAAUCAUCCAACUCACCGCCGAUUUAGUCGUGUCAUUCAUUGUACGAACAAUCAAUCAACUCAGGAAUCUUAGGCGAAAGCACUGCCAUAGCAUCGCCGAGAGCUUCGUCUCAAUUCUUCUUCUUAAGCAAUCAAGAGCCUUGUUGAUCCAACUAUUCAGCAAUCAAGACCCAUACUUCUUUUGCUCUUUUCAAAUAGAGAAUGACCACGGAAUGGCUGUGACAGCCGUGGAGUUGCAGGUCAUCGUGGACAUCAUUUUGCAACAAUUCUUUGACAUCGCGGCUGCCCAUGAUUGUUUAUAGGGUUUGGGAUUAUUGCUUGAAAUUCUUGUUUUGAUUGUUUAAUUGAGCUACUGUUACUAGAAAAUUAGGAAAUGUUGUAAUAUGACCAGCACAAGAAGCAACAACGACGAGAAAUAUUAGCAUCGCACAGCAGCAAUGACGGCAAGUAGUGAGCAGCAGCAACGGCGGUAGGCAACGAGUAGCAGCAACGGUGACAGCAACAGUAACGACAGCAAGUAGUAACAGCGAUGUCUUGGAAGGUUUUUUUUUUUUUUUGGGUAAAGGGUAUGUUAGUAAUCAAC